UCGACGGUGUGGCGCAGUGGUUGUGUGCUAGACUGGUAGGCUGGAGGUUUUGGGUUCGAAUCCUAUGUGGUGAA
Caenorhabditis brenneri is the source of this 74-nucleotide non-coding RNA. NCBI's taxonomy places the organism in Eukaryota, Metazoa, Nematoda, Chromadorea, Rhabditida, Rhabditidae. The record is from the annotation of a GenBank genome assembly.